Molecule: long non-coding RNA, 1213 nt
Filed under: Suricata suricatta (meerkat)
Lineage: Eukaryota; Metazoa; Chordata; Mammalia; Carnivora; Herpestidae
Description: lncRNA (ENSSSUG00005016556.1)
Source: RNAcentral
CGUGUCACUCGGUUCUGCAAGGGCGGGUGCGGUCUGCGGUGCGCGGCACAGCCUCCUCUAGGGCUGUCACAGGAAAACCGAAGCCUCGCCUUAACCGCACCGAGCGACAAAGCGCCAGCACUCCCUGGGGCAGGGGCUUCCGGCGAGACCCCGAGGUCGGCCCAAACUUCGGGAAGAGUCACUCAGAGCGGCCAGAAUGCUCUAACCAACGCCCCCGCCCCUGCCGCGGCUGUGUAAGGUUUGCAGACGCACGUCCCGUGGGCCCCAAAAUACUCCACCCCCGCCAGCCUCUGGAAUCCCCCAUUCCGGCAGGGGACAAAGGAGGCAGAGAGGAACUCUCCAGCGCGGGGAGUCCCCGCUGGCCCGAGCUCAGAACGUGGGGAUAAAGGGCUGCAGUCUCCCAGAGGGGUGAGGAUCCGCGCCCCCGACUCAGGGACCGGCGUGACACUCACCGGUGCGGAGCCCCCGGAGAGGCGGGGAGCAGGGGGCCGGUUCCUCCGGGGCCCUGCACACGCCCGGGCGGACCCCAACUUCUCUCGGCUGCUGUCGCCGGCGGCAGCUAGGGGUCCAGCCCAGACCGUGGGCGCUGCCGGCUCAGCCCGCGAGGGGGGCGGGAACUCGGGGCCCGCGGUCCUCCGGCCAGGGCGGGCUCCACGUCCGUCUGCCCGCUACCGGCUGAGGCUGUGGCCGCGGCGAAAGCUAACGCUGCAGCCGCUCGGGCUACAGCUCCCACCACCGCCCGGACCCAAGCGCGUCGCGGCCUAAUGUUGUCAUCCGCCGAGUCGCCGCCUCUCUGAGCACCCACCGCCGCCAAGAUCCUUUACAUUCGGGCGCCCUCCCCCUCCAGGCCCCGCCCCCAGCCUGCGGGCUCCAGCCGCCAACACCCCCCCUUUCCCGUCACGUGAUGGCGCGCGGAGGCGGCCGCGGAGACGCCUCCCCUGCAGGCCUGGCGGGAGUCGCGCGGGAACAACUGUCAACACCUUGUUCUGCCAGAGUUUUAUCGCAUCCGAAUUGCCUCCGCACCCCCGAGGGCGGCUUCGGGAUUCGAGCCCACCGCCGCCCGCUCCGCGCCUGUGACCUACUGAGGCGUGGUCCGAGGAACUCUCCCCUCCCACCCCUGGUGAUGAAAGGAAAGGAAUACAAAUGCCAAUCUCCAGAGGAAAGAAAGCAACGAUACAGAAAUGAGGGAAGUAAGAAAGCAGAAAGAUCAUAA